Long non-coding RNA from Canis lupus familiaris (dog), 581 nucleotides. RefSeq lists it as uncharacterized. The record is from RefSeq and is a predicted model, not a curated record. NCBI's taxonomy places the organism in Eukaryota, Metazoa, Chordata, Mammalia, Carnivora, Canidae. The transcript has 4 exons.
AUGCAGAGGAAGUGGCAUUCUGGAAGAUCUGAUCCUAAAUUAAGAAGAGCAUUAAGGCGCAGUUGAAAACAAACCAAAAAUAUCUUCAUAGAAACUUUCAAAUAUCACCGGAUCUUUGCUAUGCUCUUGGCCAUCACUAAUAAAUGGAUUCUGAAGACAGAUUUGCCUCAACUAUUCUUCUAGGAGAGGGACAAGUUUGUUUUUAACUUUGAUGGUGGUGAAUUCAAGAAUAUUUUUGCCCUAUUAAACAACAGUAUGAUCUACCUCAAGACUUGGCCUUAACUAGUUAAACUUUUGGAUCUCUGAAAGAACCCCAAUAGUUCCAGUGAAAGAAAUCUCAUAAUCCAGCAGUUGACAGAACUCUAACACCACCUAAGAUUGAAGAACCACUUUGGCUAAGGCAAAGCACAGGCAUGCGUUUCCCAGGUGUGGGCUCUGAUCCUGAAGAGAUGAGAGCUACUUUCCUUGAGUUAUACUGUGAUUGAGUGGGUUAUCUGCUUGAUUCAGAGAUUCCACUAGAAGAGAGAGAGAGAGAGAGAGAGAGAGCAGAAGGGGAAGCAGCAGGAGAGGGAGAAACAGGU